CGCAAAGACCGUUUAUUAUUUACAUUUUUCAUUAAUAUUUUUUGUGAAAUUGUGGUAAUAGUUAUAUCAGAAAAUCUGUAUUGAAUAGAUGACCAAUGCAACACAAAUAACAGGGUUGCAAUCACUUACAACAUGAUUAACAACACUAACAACAAGAAGUUUUGAGCGGAACGUUAAAUUAAACUGAUAUAUCUACAUAUAACAACAUAAGGGUCCUGUAACGUUCCUCGAACAACUGAAGAACAUUAGAAUCAUUAUUUGGAAGACUGAACCUGGUCGAAAGACCCUCUCGGUCAAAACAAAGAUUUGGACCAUUAUAGGCCCCUCCAACCUUCUAGCCUCACAAAAAUUGUGGAGGCAAGCAAAAGCGUCAUUACAAGUAAAACUCCUCACUUGACGAAUAUUUUCGUUGUUCCAAGGUAUAAAGUAUUUAACUUCAUCUAGAACUCUAAGAAUAUUUAUUUGGCAAUCUGUAAUAGAUAAAUAGAUAUAUGAAAAUGAAUACAGAAUACCUAAUUUAUUGAAAUUUUGAAAAACAAAUCAAGAAGUGGCGGAUUUUAUUCCCAGAAGAUAAGCCGGAUGUACGAAAGCAUUCAGAGCGUAGCAGCCUACAAAUACUUUUUAAUUGGCCUUUUACCUAGGUUACUCUAUAAAAUAUUUGGAACAAAAUAUUCCAGGAAAGUAUUUCACAAAAGGGUUAGCACAGAUGAAUUGAUGUAUAUGCAGAUAAAGGAAUGAUGACCAACCUGUAAUAAAAUACUGCUAUGGGGAUUGUGAAACCGUGGAUCCAUAUGGAUCACCAUAGUAGACCAUUGUUCCUGGCCUUUAUUUCUACAGCGUUUGUACGGGUAAUAAGAGAUGGAAUGAAUAUUUUCUCAAAAUGUAAAUACAUAGUUUUGUGUAAUUUAGUUGUAUUAAAUAUUCUUGAAAAGAUGCACCGUUUCAUUGAAAAGGUGUAUUCACUAUAGGUAUAUAUAACACAGGAACACGAUAGUAGAAGUAAUAAACUUUAUUGAAACAAUGUUUCCAAGCGCUAACAACUCAGGUCUUCCUGCCCAGGAACAGUAUAAAAAUAUAAUCGAUACAAAAUAGAACUAGUAAGAAAAACAGCAUAAAUAUAAUGAGUAUAAAUAAAAAACUGAAAUCAUUAACUCAUCGAGUUCUCUUAAUGCCAACAUUCGAAUUCAUUGAAAUUGAUGAAAAAAUCGAAGACAAACAUCCAAGGUGGGCGCUAAAGUAAACAGGAGCCAGAAAGGUAAACUAGUAUAAGUCAGCUUUCUUAAUAAUAGCAUUUUUGUUGUCUCCUCGUCAAGUAAUUUAAGUGAAGCUUCUUAUGCUAAAAUACAGAAAUUUCUUCCGGAAUAGGAAAAAAACUUAACACUGUUUCCUCAGCCUCCACAUCCAACAACACAACGAGAAAAUGGCAUAAUUAUUCACUUCCUGCUAAAAUACUGUGUGACUUUCCCAAGAUAUUGAAUACUUUCAUUACCAUUACUGGCAUUAAUAACGCACAUUUAACACU
Long non-coding RNA from Coccinella septempunctata (seven-spotted ladybird), 1522 nucleotides. RefSeq lists it as uncharacterized. The record is from RefSeq and is a predicted model, not a curated record. Lineage: Eukaryota; Metazoa; Arthropoda; Insecta; Coleoptera; Coccinellidae. The transcript is spliced from 2 exons.